Long non-coding RNA from Hipposideros armiger (great roundleaf bat), 1450 nucleotides. RefSeq lists it as uncharacterized. NCBI's taxonomy places the organism in Eukaryota, Metazoa, Chordata, Mammalia, Chiroptera, Hipposideridae. The transcript is spliced from 4 exons. The record is from RefSeq and is a predicted model, not a curated record.
UUUUAAAAAAUAUUUUCAGUCCUCGGUUGGUUGAAUCCACAGAUGCAGAACCCACAGAUACAGAGGGACAACUGUAUGCAUAUAGGAAAUUAAAACAAGUGUAACUAGAAGAAUGAAACCAAGCCAUUUCUGGGGACGUGGGUCUAUCUUCAACUCCCUGCAGGUCACCCCAAGACAUCCCAGACUCCUUCCAAGCUAUUCAAGUCAUCUUGGAAAACUUUGGGGUGGGCACCCAGUCCACCCAACUGAGGCCAGUUCCGACAGGAUCUCUGCCACGCAGAAGGUAUUUUGUUGAUCUCAUAAAUGUGGUCUUCUCUUUCACCAUAUCUUCCAACUCAGCACAGGACAGUAGAACUUUCUGCAAUGAUGAACAUGCUCUGCAACUACACUAAUACAGUCGCCACUAAUCACGUGACUAUUGAGAAACUAAAUUUAAAGUUUGAUUUAAUCUUAAUUAUUUUAAAUUUAAAUUCAAAUAGCCACAUGUGGCAGUGGUUAUCAUGUUGAACAAUGCAGUUUUAACUGAUUGCAGUUUGUAUAUAUGAAGGGUAUUGAUUUUUGUAUAUUUUAUACCCCAUUUCCUUACUGAAUUUUAUUGUUUAUAGUCGUUUUUCAAUUGAUUAAUUUGGUUUCUCUUGGAAUACAAACAUAUCACUGACAAAGAUAAUUUUACCUAUUCCUUUCCAAGUUUUCUAUUUCUUGUCUAAUUGCAUUGACUAUGUUAAGAAGAAACAACAGACCCAACAUGGAGUCACUUGUGGUAAGCCCCACCAAGACUUAAUGCCUAAUCUAAUUGCAGUUUCAGCCUCUGCCAGGAGUGGGAUUUUAAACCAAUCAGUCUGGAAUUUCCUGAUAACACUAGUGAGGUAAUCUGCCUGAUAAGACCUCCUGCCUCCCUCUAAGGAAGAUAACCUUUCUUGAAAUAAUCCACUUUUAACUCCCUUGUCCCACCUUCUUUCUGUCUAUAAACACCUUCCAUUUUGUACAACUCCUUGGAGUGCCUUUCUGUUUACUAUUUAGAUGGGCUGCUGCCCAGUUCAUGAAUCGUUCAAUAAAGCCAAUUAGAUCUUAAAAUUUACUUGGCUGAAAUUUUGUUAACAGCUAAUACCUCCAAUGAAAGGAUAUAUAGUCAUAGUGGUGAAAGUGUAUAUUCUUGUUCCUGACUUAAUGGAAUUUCUAAGUGUGAUUUCUUCUUUUUUUUCAUAUGCAAGUGGUACAAACAGGUGACAAAUCUAUUGUUCUGUCCCCAAAGCUUGUACCUCCUCCAGACCUUCCUGUGUUACUGACCUGAGGAGCCAUUCUGUUUCCCAAGUUAGAAAUCUAGGCAUCACUUUCAUUUCUCUCUUUCUCUCCCUCUCCCUCACUUUAUUAUCCAGGCCAACCAGCUAUCAAAUCUGUCCUCUUUUCAUUUCCACUGCCACCCCCCAGUCUGUUACCUUUCAUUGCUUAU